AUGGGGGGAGAAAAACCUGAUGAGUGUCCUUGGCCCCAACUACCAAUCUUCUCCCAGGGCGACCAGACGGGGUUAAAUCCGGGUGUCCAAGUGCGGCUUGUCAAGGUGCAGGCUGGUGUGCGUCAGGGGAUGUCUUUGGCUUUAGGGAAAAAGCCACUGGUCUGUUUCUCUGCUUUGUUUCUCUUCAGCUACCUGUGCAAUAUCCUCCCAGAAGGAGGGGGACGGUUUGCUUUCAUUCACCACUGCACAGUGCCAGGCUCAGAUGAGGGUGUUCAACCAGCUGUGCAGCCACGAGGCCCAGGCCACAGGGCCCAAGUGAGGCUGUGUGAGAACUUCUCCGCGCACAUUGUAAAUACCAUCUGUCAUACCGCCUGCCCAGACACGGCCUUCCUCCCUGGAAGGAAAGUGUUCUUUAUUAUUUAUGCAGAACGCACCCUACUUAAGUGCUGUGCCACCAGGAGAGGGAAAGAAAAGCCCAGAAGAAUGGAGGACUCCAGGGACCUGCCCCUCGGAUAGCAGCUGGUCAGGAGGGCUUGGCCAUCCUCUCUCUCAUCUCUCUUGGGUGGGAGGAUAACUCUCAGCUCUCCUGGGGAUCAGGAGGCCUGCAUUCUCCUUGCUUUGCCAUCAGCUUGCUGUAUGACCUUGACCAAAGCACCUCAACUCUGUAGGCCUCCAUUUUCUCAUCUGUAAAUGCAGAGGUCAAACUAGAUGAGCUGUGACCUCUCCCCAGCCCUGAAAUAUGACUGGGUCACUUGGAUCCUUCUGCCUCCUGCCACUUGCCCAGUAGCUUGUUCACUUCCCAUUACCCCUUCCACCCCGGCUGGAUGGGGGAAAUACAGAUCAGGAUGUAAUUCCUUAGUACUUGCAAGCAGGAUCAGGAGUCAGCAGACCUGGGUUCUUGUCCAAGCUCUGUCACUCUUUAGCCAUAGAGCCACUCUUUGGACUCUUAUGAUUGCGAGAAGAAUCCAUCUCAAAAUCCCAUGAUCUCCGACUUGCCAUUCCAAAACAGUGCCUGUAAACAUCUUUGCAGACUGAGGCUCCGGACACAGAGAUAAAUGAGACAUAGUCUCUGCCCACAGUGAGCUCUAGUACAGAUAGAAAAGACACGCUACAAAAUCCUUCAGGUACGAUGCUACUGAUGCUGAGUAGAGAUGUAUGCAAAGUAUGUGGUGGCAGAAAGGGGGUCCAAAGAGGUGAUGCUGGAGCUGGAUCUUAAAAGACUAAGUAGGAGUUUGCCAGGUGGAUGAAGGCUUGAUGCAUUCAAGACAGAGGGAGCUGCAUGUACUGAGGCAAGAAGGUGUAAAUUUGCAUAGAAACUGCCUACUUGUUGUUAGGUGAUGGGGACAUUCUGGGAGUCUUUGCAUUGACUACUUUCUCUUCUACCCCUCUGGAACAAUCCAGUACUCCCCGGAUGGGGGUAAGGGGGCUUAUGAUUGAUGGCUCAGCUUGCCCUCCUGGUCCAUGAAACACAUCACCAGGGAUAUGAGAGACUAACAAGACUCUCCCCUUCCAUCUCCUGCCUUUAUCUGUUCUCUGAACUAGAAUCAGUGAAGCAGGCUGGAAAUGGGAUGGCUGAAGUGGCCUCAAGGUGACCCACAAUUUUCCAGCCUCGCAAGCCAUCAGGCCAGGUCAGAAGAGGAACAUGGCUCUCUGCAAAAUGGGGCCCAGCGGCUGGCAGUCAGGGUUGCUGGGCAUCCUCCUGUGUGUGGCCAGAGCACGUGAUUUGUCCUACAGCUGUGGCAGCCUGUUGUGGCUCCUUGGGGAGCUGUCUGAGUCCUCUGCAGAGAGAUGGAGUUAACCUGUCCCUUCUCCGUGAAGGACGUCCUGCAACAGAAAUGCGCUCAAUCUGAUUGCUGCAGCUAUGGUCUGCAGCUCUCAUGCCUGCUCUGCAUACUCCAAAAUACAUAAGAACAGCACAGAGAAUGCCUGCAUCCAAGAUAUCCAUUAGCUGUGAGCAGCCUCAUAGGCUGCGAAUCAUGGGGUUAACCAGGCUCGGGGAAAGCCUAUGAAGCACUGUAAGCAUUCUGCUGGUUUGGCUUGCUGCAACAAUUUAUAUCCAAGAAAAAGGGGCUGCAAGUCAGGGAAAUACCAGAACCGCUGAAGGAACGGGCACAUUUGCCAGAUGGUUCCCAAGGCACAAUUGUGUUUGCAGAGGGAUCGUCUGCAGAGGGAGGUCCUUUCCUCGGAGAGCAAAGGCGCUGGCUGAUGGCUCAUUCAUUAUCCUAGGGCUGGUUUGGAAGAGGGUGCUGGCUUAAAGCACACCCACGCUUGUCCUCAUCUCAGAACCUUGCAGCUGUGAUUGCCUGAGGUUGUAGUGGCAUUCGGGAUUGAGCCUCUCCAAGCGCUCCUAACUGUGUUUCUUUAGACACCUGCCACCUGUAUCUUCUUUCCUAGCUUAAGCCAGUUAGUUCAUUUUCCCAGCUGCCAGCUGUCACUCUCUCUCCUUAAUGUAUCUGACUGCAUUUAGUCAAUUACACAGCUUGGACUCUUAUGAUGUGAGUUCAGCGGUGCUGCCAGGGCUGAACUACGAGGCAACAGGGACAAGGCUGGGGGAAUGGUUAAGUGGGCUCGAAAAUAUGAAUAACUGGAAGGGCAUCUUAAAUUAUUUGCACAGAAUUUUUUAAAAGAUUUUAUUUAUCUACUUGAGACAGAGAGAGUUUAAGAGCAGGUGGAAGGGGCAGAGAAGCAGACUCCCCACAAAGCAGGGAGCCAGACAUGGAGUUCGAUCCCAGGACCCAGGGAUCAUGACGUGAGCUGAAGGCAGAUGCCUAACCGACUGAGCCACCCAGGUGCCCCUUGCACAGAAUCUUCAAGAACUCAUUGCUUUUGCUUGAUCAUGCAUGUGUCUGCCUGUCUUCCUCCAUGAAACUACAGAUUGUGAGCCGACGAAGCCAUCUCUAUCUUGGUUUUGCUACAUAUUCCAGGUGGGUUGGUGGUCAUGGUCUGAGUCAUGCAGAUGCCCCCAAAAGCCUGGGUCACAGGGCAGAUGGGGUGAGGGUGAGUUGGCAGUUAGUCCUGCAGAGCCCCGGUGAUGCCUGGGCUGGCGGUCAGUGGGCUCUCCCCUGUAGAAGGAUAGUACCAUAGCAGGGGGUGGUGAGGGUGCCCGCGUAUUAGGGGACCUGUGAUCAUGUGUCUGUUGUAACAUCUGUGUUACAUCAUGACCUCCAUAAGGACAGGAUGCCUUUGUCAUUGCCACACUUUUUCUGUUCUCCAGUAUCAUGCUGUCAGUGUGGCGUCUAGGGGGUUAGUGGAAACAAACAUCUUUAUUUACAGACCUCCAUUUGCAUCUGGCAGGAUAACCUUCACCCAGUUAGUUCACUUAGGCUCAAUGGAACUCAGUUUCCUUUAACUUAAAUGAAGCUGCUAUGACACAUCUUUCGAGGAUGUAGAUAAAAAGGAUGGGGCAGUGCCUGGCACAGAGUAGCUCUCUGUAAGUAACAUCAUUUCUCCCUCCCUUUUCCCCCUGGAUACUCAAUACAUGGUGUUGAAUAGAUGAAUAAAUUAUUUCAGAGAUGAAUACACUUUGGCAUCUUUCUUGGAUACAUUCAUAUUCCAAAAAGCCCAUAUAUCACAGUUUUGUUUUGUUUUUUAAAUCCAACACCACAUAACCAAAUUUGUGGUUUACAGCUGGAAGCAGCCAUCCCUGUGGGGGGCUAAAGUGGUUUCUAACAGAUGUAGAAAUACCUCUCUUUAUCCUUAAAGAAAAAUACAAUGAAACUACCUUGGGAAACGAUUCCACAGGACUUUGUGUUUGACCUCUUUUCAUCGCUCUUUUUGAUACAAGAGGCACACAGUUGGUGCCUAAUAAAUGCACACCAAAGGUUUGGCCUUCUGAGAGGCCUCUCAGUUGCAGGACUGACUGGGAGCCACGUGAAGACCUGGAGCCACAGUGUCCUCUAGUGGGGAAGACCGUCAUAACACCCCACACAGCUGACCGGACAUACCAAGCCCAAGGUUCCCUAAAGUGCCCAGGAUCAGCCCCGCAGUGCAGCCACCAGGGCAGGCUUCCAGGGCUGUUUUCAUGACUCAGAAAUAACAAACAACACAUUCUCCAGGAAAUGCUCUUCCGAAUGCAUUGCCCAGAGACAGCCAUCACAGCCACAUUUAUUCCUUAAAACUCAUUAGGCGUCAAUUAAUGGAGUCCAGGCAAUGAUUCUAGACUGCUAACACCACAAAUGAAACCAAACAUUUUCUGCCUCUGGUGGAAGUACAUAGCAUUACCUAUGACGUAUUUUUUAAAGUAAUCUCUACACCCAAAGUAUUGCUCAAACUCACAAUCCUAAGAUCAAGAGUUGCAUGCUCUACCAACUGAGCCAGCCAGUUGGUAGAUAAUAUUUUUUGCCACAGAGUUGAACCUGUGCCAGGGUGCCUGGGUGGCUCAGUCGGUUAAGCAUCCAACUCUUGAUUUCAGGUCACGUCAUGAUCUCAGGGUCGUGCGAUCAAGCCUGGUGUUAGACUCUGUGCUCAGCAAGGAAUCUGCUUGAGAUUCUGUCUCUGCCUGUCCCUCCCCCACUGCUCACGUGCGUGGGCUCUCUCUCUAAAAAAAAAGGAAAAGAAAAAAUAAUUGAACCUCAGCCUGAUCAAAUAUCUAGAUCUAACCUCCAAUUUAUAGGAAACAAAUUGGCAGCUAACAAAUUAAUACAUUUACAGAGGAAUAUGUUGAACAGCACCAUGGGGAAUGUGAUUGGAAAAAUCCAGACUGUGGAAAACUCUACAGGAAAAAUGACCUGCUUUCUUCAGCAAUAAAUUGCAAAGAGGAAAAGAGGUGAAUCUUUUUUGAGAUCUUGAUUUAAACACAGUGAAGGGGGGAUCCCUGGAUGGCUCAGCGGUUUCGCGCCUGCCUUUGGCCCCGGGCCCGAUCCUGGAGACCCGGGAUCGAGUACCGCGUCGGGCUCCCAGCAUGGAGCCUGCUUCUCCCUCUCCUCUGCCUGUGUCUCUGCCUCUCUCUCUCUCUCUCUCUAUGUCUAUCAUAAAUAAAUAAAAAUAAAUUAAAAAAAUAAACACAGUGAAGGUUAAAAAAAAAAAAAAAAAAAGCUUGUUUAGACAAACCGGGAUAUCUGAACACUGUAUAGUUGAUCUUAAGAAAAUGUUCGCUGUAGGGAUCCCCGGGUGGCUCAGCAGUUUAGUGCCUGCCUUUGGCCCAGGGUGUGAUCCUGGAGACCCGGGAUUGAGUCCCACAUCGGGCUCCCUGCAUGGAGCCUGCUUCUCUCUCUGCCUGUGUCUCUGCCUCUCUCUCUGUGUGUGUGUCUCUCAUGAAUAAAUAAAUAAAAUCUUUAAAAAAAAACAAAAUUGUUCAUUGUUUUUAAAAUGUGAAGAUAGUAUCAUGGUUGUUUAUUUUUUAUAGAUUCUCUAUAUUUUAUUUUAUUUUUCA
RNAcentral lists this long non-coding RNA (5371 nucleotides) under Canis lupus familiaris (dog). Its description in RNAcentral is "lncRNA (ENSCAFG00000050447.1)". The record is from RNAcentral. Lineage: Eukaryota; Metazoa; Chordata; Mammalia; Carnivora; Canidae.